CGUAGGUAACCUGCCUGGUAGCGGGGGAUAACUAUUGGAAACGAUAGCUAAUACCGCAUAAUAGCAGUUAUUGCAUGAUAACUGUUUGAAAGGUGCAAUUGCAUCACUACCAGAUGGACCUGCGUUGUAUUAGCUAGUUGGUGGGGUAACGGCUCGCCAAGGCGACGAUACAUAGCCGACCUGAGAGGGUGAUCGGCCACACUGGGACUGAGACACGGCCCAG
This 223-nucleotide ribosomal RNA is filed under the name uncultured bacterium. RNAcentral describes it as "partial 16S ribosomal RNA". It matches the Rfam family "Bacterial small subunit ribosomal RNA", at positions 116 to 334 of the family's 1533-position model. The record is from RNAcentral.